This 586-nucleotide long non-coding RNA is filed under the name Junco hyemalis (dark-eyed junco). Its description in RNAcentral is "lncRNA (ENSJHYG00000008620.1)". The record is from RNAcentral. Lineage: Eukaryota; Metazoa; Chordata; Aves; Passeriformes; Passerellidae.
AUGAAUUUCUGCAUCGCGGUGCUCCUGGUCCUUCAGUCCUUGCCGGGUGAUUACUAUUAUUCCACAGAAGAUUAUUACUACGACAACGCCACAGCAACCCCUGCCACGUACGUGUACGAGUUUGAUUCAUAUGAGACAAACACCACUGGAGACAUAGAUUAUGACAAGUUUUUUCCAGAAUGGAAUGACACCAUUGAGCUUUCAGGAUUACCUGACAUAAAUGUUCCAGGGGAUGCCAAGGACGCUCCAGGGGACGCCAAGGACACUCAGGAUUUUCAGGAGUCAUUGGGAUCGUCCCUGCAGGGCCACCUCACCCUCAUCAUCCUCCUCAGCUUCCUGGGUCUCCUGCUAUGACCCCCAGACUCCUCCUCCCAAGACCUUGUGGCUGGGAUGGUGACCAGGACACCGCCAGGUGUUGAUGAUGAAAUCCUCUCCACGAGGUGUUGUCUCUGUUCUGGAACUGCUGAGAUUUUGUGGCUGAAGGUUUUGGUGAGAGCAGCUCAGCAACCCUUCAGGCCUUUCCUGUUUCCUCGGAUUCUGCUGUAAAUAAGAACCUCUGCCAAUAAAACCCCCAACACCCGGUGCA